RNAcentral lists this transfer RNA (88 nucleotides) under Deltaproteobacteria bacterium. RNAcentral's name for it is "tRNA-Leu". It matches the Rfam family "tRNA". Rfam says of the family: Transfer RNA (tRNA) molecules are approximately 80 nucleotides in length. RNAcentral also lists the same sequence under 2 other names. The record is from RNAcentral. Lineage: Bacteria; Pseudomonadati; Myxococcota; Myxococcia.
GCCUGGGUGAUGGAACUGGUAGACAUAAGGGACUUAAAAUCCCUUGAGGCCAUGCCUCGUGGGGGUUCGACUCCCCCCCCAGGCACCA